CCUACGGGAGGCAGCAGUGAGGAAUAUUGGUCAAUGGACGAGAGUCUGAACCAGCCAAGUAGCGUGAAGGAUGACUGCCCUAUGGGUUGUAAACUUCUUUUAUAUGGGAAUAAAACGCUCCACGUGUGGGAUUUUGUAUGUACCAUAUGAAUAAGGAUCGGCUAACUCCGUGCCAGCAGCCGCGGUAAUACGGAGGAUCCGAGCGUUAUCCGGAUUUAUUGGGUUUAAAGGGAGCGUAGGUGGAUUGUUAAGUCAGUUGUGAAAGUUUGCGGCUCAACCGUAAAAUUGCAGUUGAAACUGGCAGUCUUGAGUACAGUAGAGGUGGGCGGAAUUCGUGGUGUAGCGGUGAAAUGCUUAGAUAUCACGAAGAACUCCGAUUGCGAAGGCAGUUCACUGGACUGCAACUGACACUGAGGCUCGAAAGUGUGGGUAUCAAACAGGAUUAGAUACCCCAGUAGUC
This 460-nucleotide ribosomal RNA is filed under the name uncultured bacterium. RNAcentral describes it as "partial 16S ribosomal RNA". It matches the Rfam family "Bacterial small subunit ribosomal RNA", at positions 338 to 795 of the family's 1533-position model. The record is from RNAcentral.